Molecule: long non-coding RNA, 1513 nt
Organism: Nannospalax galili (Upper Galilee mountains blind mole rat)
Lineage: Eukaryota; Metazoa; Chordata; Mammalia; Rodentia; Spalacidae
Exons: 2
Source: RefSeq, a predicted model, not a curated record
AUCGCCACCCCGCACGGGCCCGGCCAAUGAGAGGAGGCGAGAGGGCCUGGGGGAGCACUGCGGGAGGGCACUCGGGAUGCCCCAGCCAGGGUCCGGUCCACGGGGACACGCGGCUCUAGGAGCCCCUGCUGCCCUGGGGUCGGAAGACCUCCCCUAGGGAAAGUGAGCCUGGGACUUAGUGCACAGCUGGGGUGGGGCGGGGCGGGCAGGCCUGGAGGACCUCUCCUCCCCACCAGUCUCCCGGCCUCUGGCCUAGCUGGCGCUAUCAGCCCAGACAGGAAUCGUGAGCCUUCCGGGUUUCCACAGAAAACACCCUUGGGGACAUCAUUACAAUAUAGAAUCUAUGCCUUACAAAAUACAUACAAAGUUUGACGGGAGCAAGCCAAGGCCAGACUGGGAGCUGUACAACUGUAAUACUUCACUGCAGUGAUCCAGGAACAUGAGACACGGCCUUUGGAAGCAUGUUGGGAGCUACGUUUGUUUCUCUAAAAAAGUUCCUAUGGAAAAGGAAAAUGUGAACUUGAUGGAAAUGGUCUUGGACCCUUGGAUUCUGCCUUGGGGUUUUGGCAAACUAUUCCACAAUGGCUUUGGAUGGGAAGUCGUCACCUGGGCAUAUCCAACAAAACCACAGUAGGGAUUCCCAUCCAUGGAAGAGUGACAGGAACCCUGACCCCAUAAUGCACAGGUGCUCAGCAGGAAGCCUCAGGGUCACCUUACUAGGUACCCUAGGCCUCUCCAGUGAAUGGGGAAACAGGGUCUCCCACCGACACCCUAAAGCAGGCACCCUUAGUCAUGGAUACCAAGCUGAUGACCAGGCAAGGGUCCCAGCCUCUAGGGAAGUGGCUCUGCUCUCUUGGGGGGAGGGGAUUUACUCUCGUCAGACUGUAGGUGCUGAGGGGCAACCUGGUCUGAGGGCAUGCAACCCACAUGCUCAGGUUUCAAAUGAGCAUGGGUAAUAGUGCAAUAUGUUCUCUAGGAAAACAGCAGAGAGAAGAGAGCCUUGGAACCCCUAAAGAAAACUGCACCAUCAUAGUGGUCCUAGGGACUUCCUGUUCCUGCCCCGCCUCACUGUUCCCCAGGAAUGUUGACAGUCCCACCUCGCAAACCGCCCCCCCCAGGAAUGUUGACAGUGUGGGGGAGGGAUCUUCUCUCCCAUCCUGUUUGUUUCUAAAUAAAAGUAGUAAAGUUUUAAAGCUUUGUGAGAAGGGGGUGGCUGGGCAGGGCAGGAUGGCUGCGGGGUUAAGUUCAGUAACUCCUGAAGUGGUCAACAGAAACCAAGCAGGUCACCCUUCCCAGUACAGCAAGUACUGCCCAGUUCCGUUCCUCUGACUGUAAAGGCCAGUUUGCUGGCAGGAAGGGUCUUUCCCUCAGUGGUGUUCAGGCCUGUAUCAGUAGUAAGCUGAAUUGUGCAUCCAAGUUCUGGUACAAAAUUCUCUGGAAUGUGUCCAGGACAAACCUUUGAAGACUCUGAAUCAGGAAAACCAGUCACAGGACCUGGCUCUUCCUGGGGCCA